RNAcentral lists this unclassified non-coding RNA (1042 nucleotides) under Hevea brasiliensis (rubber tree). Lineage: Eukaryota; Viridiplantae; Streptophyta; Magnoliopsida; Malpighiales; Euphorbiaceae. The record is from RNAcentral.
AAAAACUUGAAGCUUCCAUUUCUCAUUUCUCUGAUAAAAAGUUAAUCCCUUCUCGAACACUCAAAAUCAUCUUUUGAAGCUGAUGUCGUUGAAGCUCCACCAUCAGAAUCUUCCUUCAUCUAGUUCUUCUAUUUCACGUCCUUCAGUUAAAGCAGUGAGAAACUAUUAUUUCAGCAGAAAAGUAGUAGGUUUGGAUCACCUGAUAUACAAUCAAUGCAAUACAAGGAGGAGAUGCCACACAAAACUUUAUUUGUUACAGGGUGGAAAUCGUGAUCUUAAUCCUCGAACAUCGAGGAUAUUACACCUUUUGCCUUUUGCUUCUGCUGAGGAUGGGGUGUCGGUCAAUGGUAGUUCCAGACCAACUACAAGCAGUGAUAUGGAGGAAAUGAGACUAAAACUAGAUAUAUCUCUGCAAGGUGAAGAUAAUGGUUCUGGACUUGUCCAAUCGCUGCAUGAUGCUGCAAGAGUAAUUGAGCUAGGACUUAGACAACAAGGCUCAUUAUCCAGGGUAUCCUGGUUUUCAACUGCCUGGUUGGGCGGUGAUAGAACUAUUUGGAUCAAGGAGCUAUCUUAUCAGGCAUCUGUAUACUCUCUACUGCAAGCAGCAAUUGAGAUUUUAUCUCGAGGAGAUGAAAGAGAUAAUGAUAUCAACAUUUUCACGCAGAGGAGUUUAUCAAGGCAAUCUGCUCCUUUGGAGAGCUUGAUUAGAGAUAGUUUAUUAGCCAAGCAACCUGAAGCUUAUGAUUGGUUUUGGUCUGAGCAAAUUCCAGUAGUGGUUACCACCUUUGUGAAUUACUUUGAGAAGGAUCUGCGAUUUGCUGCUGCUACUGCAGAGACCAGAAAGCAAACAUCUCUAUCUCCUCGAAAUGCAAGUGAUGUAUCACUCCUUAUGCUUGCACUCAGUUGCAUUGCAGCGAUUAUGAAACUUGGUGCUGCAAAACUGUCGUGUACACAAUUUUCGUCUCUUGUUCCAGACACACUUGGAAGAUUGAUGGACAUGCUUGUCGAAUUUAUUCCUCUCCGACAGGCUUAUCAUUCCGUG